Cyprinus carpio (common carp) is the source of this 261-nucleotide long non-coding RNA. RefSeq lists it as uncharacterized. NCBI's taxonomy places the organism in Eukaryota, Metazoa, Chordata, Actinopteri, Cypriniformes, Cyprinidae. The record is from RefSeq and is a predicted model, not a curated record. The transcript is spliced from 3 exons.
UGGAGAUCUUCACCUGCUGGUGGCGUCCGAUCGCUAAUCAGGACAACGUCACCUACACGCUCCUGUACACCACGGGUGAGCGCACUCCUCGUGAGUGUCCUGAUUACGUGAGCGGCGGGGCAUCAACAGCUGCUUCUUCGAUGCCAAACACACUCAGAUAUGGGAGAUGUACUGCAUGAACGUGACGGCACACACGCACACGGGGCCCAUCACCUCUCAGAAACAUUGCCUGGACGUGGUCGAUAUAGUGGAGACCGACCC